GACGAACCGUGCGAACGUUGUUCGGAUUCACUGGGCUUAAAGGGCGCGUAGGCGGGCAGUCAAGUCAGGGGUGAAAUCUUUCGGCUUAACCGGAAAACAGCCCCUGAUACUGGCUGUCUCGAGGGAGGUAGGGGCAUGUGGAACUGGUGGUGGAGCGGUGAAAUGCGUAGAUAUCACUAGGAACGCCGGUGGCGAAAGCGACGUGCUGGACCUCUUCUGACGCUGAGGCGCGAAAGCCAGGGGAGCAAACGGG
Molecule: ribosomal RNA, 253 nt
Filed under: uncultured Gemmata sp.
Lineage: Bacteria; Pseudomonadati; Planctomycetota; Planctomycetia; Gemmatales; Gemmataceae
Description: partial 16S ribosomal RNA
Rfam family: Bacterial small subunit ribosomal RNA
Source: RNAcentral